This 468-nucleotide ribosomal RNA is filed under the name uncultured bacterium. RNAcentral's name for it is "partial 16S ribosomal RNA". It matches the Rfam family "Bacterial small subunit ribosomal RNA", at positions 28 to 507 of the family's 1533-position model. The record is from RNAcentral.
GACGAACGCUGGCGGCGUGCUUAACACAUGCAAGUCGAACGGAAAGGCCCUGCUUUUGUGGGGUGCUCGAGUGGCGAACGGGUGAGUAACACGUGAGUAACCUGCCCUUGACUUUGGGAUAACUUCAGGAAACUGGGGCUAAUACCGGAUAGGAGCUCCUGCUGCAUGGUGGGGGUUGGAAAGUUUCGGCGGUUGGGGAUGGACUCGCGGCUUAUCAGCUUGUUGGUGGGGUAGUGGCUUACCAAGGCUUUGACGGGUAGCCGGCCUGAGAGGGUGACCGGCCACCUUGGGACUGAGAUACGGCCCAGACUCCUACGGGAGGCAGCAGUGGGGAAUAUUGCACAAUGGGCGGAAGCCUGAUGCAGCAACGCCGCGUGCGGGAUGACGGCCUUCGGGUUGUAAACCGCUUUCGCCUGUGCCGAAGCGUGCGUGACGGUAAUGGGUCAAGAAGCACCGGCUAACUACGUG